This is a non-coding RNA of Chelonia mydas (Green sea turtle), 73 nucleotides long. The record is from Rfam. Lineage: Eukaryota; Metazoa; Chordata; Testudines; Cheloniidae.
GCUCCAAUGGCCUAAUAGAUAAGGCACUGGCAUCCUAAACCAGAGAUUGUGGGUUCAAGUCCCACCUGGGGUU